GUUAGGAAUAUUGGACAAUGGGCGCAAGCCUGAUCCAGCCAUGCCGCGUGAGUGAUGAAGGCCUUCGGGUUGUAAAGCUCUUUAGCCGAUGAUUAUAAUGACUGUAGUCGGAAAAUAAGCCCCGGCUAACUUCGUGCCAGCAGCCGCGGUAAUACGAAGGGGGCGAGCGUUAUUCGGAAUCACUGGGCGUAAAGCGUGCGUAGGCGGCUUUGCAAGUUGGGAGUGAAAGCCUAGGGCUCAACCCUGGAAUUGCUCUCAAAACUGCAAGGCUCGAAUUCGGGAGAGGAUAGCGGAAUUGUCAGUGUAGCAGUGAAAUGCGUAGAUAUUGACAGGAACACCAGUGGCGUAAGCGGCUAUCUGGACCGAUAUUGACGCUGAGGCACGAAAGCGUGGGGAUCAAACAGGAUUAGAUACCCUAGUAGUCC
RNAcentral lists this ribosomal RNA (425 nucleotides) under uncultured bacterium. RNAcentral describes it as "bacterial SSU rRNA". It matches the Rfam family "Bacterial small subunit ribosomal RNA", at positions 354 to 796 of the family's 1533-position model. The record is from RNAcentral.